GAUGAACGCUGGCGGCGUGCUUAACACAUGCAAGUCGAACGAUGAAGCCCAGCCUGCUGGGCGGAUUAGUGGCGAACGGGUGAGUAACACGUGAGUAACCUGCCCUUGACUCUGGGAUAAGCCCGGGAAACUGGGUCUAAUACCGGAUAGGAGCGCCUGUCGCAUGACGGGUGCUGGAAAGAUUUUUCGGUCAUGGAUGGACUCGCGGCCUAUCAGCUUGUUGGUGAGGUAACGGCUCACCAAGGCGACGACGGGUAGCCGGCCUGAGAGGGUGACCGGCCACACUGGGACUGAGACACGGCCCAGACUCCUACGGGAGGCAGCAGUGGGGAAUAUUGCACAAUGGGCGGAAGCCUGAUGCAGCGACGCCGCGUGAGGGAUGACGGCCUUCGGGUUGUAAACCUCUUUCAGUAGGGAAGAAGCGAAAGGACGUACCUGCAGAGAGCCC
RNAcentral lists this ribosomal RNA (448 nucleotides) under Micrococcus luteus. RNAcentral's name for it is "bacterial SSU rRNA". It matches the Rfam family "Bacterial small subunit ribosomal RNA", at positions 28 to 493 of the family's 1533-position model. Lineage: Bacteria; Bacillati; Actinomycetota; Actinomycetes; Micrococcales; Micrococcaceae. The record is from RNAcentral.